UGGGGAAUUUUCCGCAAUGGGCGAAAGCCUGACGGAGCAACGCCGCGUGAGGGAUGAAGGCCUCUGGGCUGUAAACCUCUUUUAUCAAGGAAGAAGAUCUGACGGUACUUGAUGAAUAAGCCACGGCUAAUUCCGUGCCAGCAGCCGCGGUAAUACGGGAGUGGCAAGCGUUAUCCGGAAUUAUUGGGCGUAAAGCGUCCGCAGGCGGCCCUUCAAGUCUGCUGUUAAAAAGUGGAGCUUAACUCCAUCAUGGCAGUGGAAACUGUUGGGCUUGAGUGUGGUAGGGGCAGAGGGAAUUCCCGGUGUAGCGGUGAAAUGCGUAGAUAUCGGGAAGAACACCAGUGGCGAAGGCGCUCUGCUGGGCCAUCACUGACGCUCAUGGACGAAAGCCAGGGGAGCGAAAGGG
Molecule: ribosomal RNA, 406 nt
Filed under: uncultured bacterium
Lineage: Bacteria
Also listed under: 2 other names
Description: bacterial SSU rRNA
Rfam family: Bacterial small subunit ribosomal RNA
Source: RNAcentral